UGCGAAAGCGUGGGGAGCAAACAGGAUUAGAUACCCUGGUAGUCCACGCCGUAAACGAUGUCUACUUGGAGGUUGUGGCCUUGAGCCGUGGCUUUCGGAGCUAACGCGUUAAGUAGACCGCCUGGGGAGUACGGUCGCAAGAUUAAAACUCAAAUGAAUUGACGGGGGCCCGCACAAGCGGUGGAGCAUGUGGUUUAAUUCGAGGCAACGCGAAGAACCUUACCUACUCUUGACAUCCAGAGAACUUUCCAGAGAUGGAUUGGUGCCUUCGGGAACUCUGAGACAGGUGCUGCAUGGCUGUCGUCAGCUCGUGUUGUGAAAUGUUGGGUUAAGUCCCGCAACGAGCGCAACCCUUAUCCUU
This 361-nucleotide ribosomal RNA is filed under the name Salmonella enterica subsp. enterica serovar Typhi. RNAcentral's name for it is "bacterial SSU rRNA". It matches the Rfam family "Bacterial small subunit ribosomal RNA", at positions 752 to 1112 of the family's 1533-position model. Lineage: Bacteria; Pseudomonadati; Pseudomonadota; Gammaproteobacteria; Enterobacterales; Enterobacteriaceae. The record is from RNAcentral.